RNAcentral lists this ribosomal RNA (430 nucleotides) under uncultured bacterium. RNAcentral describes it as "bacterial SSU rRNA". It matches the Rfam family "Bacterial small subunit ribosomal RNA", at positions 355 to 776 of the family's 1533-position model. The record is from RNAcentral.
UGGGGAAUAUUGCGCAAUGGGCGAAAGCCUGACGCAGCAACGCCGUGUGAGUGAUGAAGGCCCUCGGGUCGUAAAGCUCUGUCAGCAGGGAAGAUGGGAGAUGAGUUUAAUACGCUCAUUUUUUGACGGUACCUGCAAAGGAAGCACCGGCUAACUCUGUGCCAGCAGCCGCGGUAAUACAGAGGGUGCAAGCGUUGUUCGGAAUUAUUGGGCGUAAAGCGCGCGUAGGCGGCUACAUAAGUCUGACGUGAAAGCCCGGGGCUCAACCCCGGAAGUGCAUCGGAAACUGUGUAGCUAGAGUCCCGGAGAGGAUGGUGGAAUUCCAGGUGUAGAGGUGAAAUUCGUAGAUAUCUGGAGGAACAUCAGUGGCGAAGGCGGCCAUCUGGACGGUGACUGACGCUGAGGUGCGAAAGCGUGGGGAGCGAACAGG